CAGGAACGUCUGUGCCACAUUCAGCUACUUCAGAAGACGCAGGUAAGAUGUGUCUUUCACCUUCCGCCGUGAUUGUGAGACCUCCCCAAACACGUCGAAUUGACUAUCAACCUGGCCUGAAAUGAAGUGAUGUCCUCAAAACUUUAGAUAUUGUUGCCAAGAGCCUUCUUCUCAAAAAUAAGUCAAUGGAAACUGUGUUUACUAAUCUGUGUUUUCUGAAAUGCUAUUUGGGGAGAUGGGAAAAGGAAAGAGAAUGAGAUUGUGAAAAAAGGAUCUGAAAUUAUAAGAUAGUAUACCAUUCAGGAAUUAUAAAUUAUCUGUAGCUUGAAUUUAAUUAAAAAAUAUCUUAUGAGUCAGAGAGGUUUUUUUUUAAUAUUUUCUUCCACAGUCCAAUCAAUGGUUUUCCAUGAUAUAAACCUUCUAGAUCUUAAAUCCAAGGAUUAUAUCUUAAACAAUUAUACCUUCAUGCUAUGGCUGUGGGCAUGGGGACUUACACAGACAUUCUGGAAAGCCAAAUAUACAAAUGUCCCAGCAACCCAACUCUUGCAGAUGUAUCUGGGUGAAAUUCUGACACAAAUCCACAAGAGGACAUAAGUGAGGACAGUCACUGCAGUAUUAUCUACUGAGGUAGGAAGUUAGAAGUUGGUUAAAUGUCUACUACUAGGAAACAAGGAUGUUAUAGGUGAAAGACCCAUACUAGAUUCUCUUCAGGAGCUGAAACAACAAACUAGCUAUAUGUAGAACUGUGUGGAUAAGCAGUGAAGGCAGACAUACAGUAACAUGUAGCACAAUGCCACUUAGGCAUUUAAAAAAUAUAUGCACAAAGAACUAUACAGAUACACACAAGUGUGUGUAAAACUGGUGAAAUCUGAUUAAGAUCUGUGGAUUGUAUCAACGUCUAUUUCCAGGUUUUGACACUGUUCUGAGGUUAUGCAGGAUGUUACCAUUGGGGGAAACUGGGUGAAGAGACCUCUGGUUUCCUUGCAGUAAAUACUAGGACUUCCUAGUAUGUUUUUGUAACCUCCUUUGAAUCUAUAAUUAAAUUAAAUUAAAAAAAUUUUAAAGGUUAAUGCAAGGCAAGAGAAGUACAUUUAAUAUAAUGUGGAUUGUAUGUGAGAGUAUAUGAAAAUACCUAUGUAUUUCAAGUAUACGUACAUUUGUAUUCAGUACUUGAAAAACUACCUAUAAACACAACAGUGACAUUUGUGCUAGCAGACCUGGGCAUUGUCAGGGUGGGCAACUUUGACUUUCCAAUGUAGAUUCUUCUGUACCAUUUUUAAAACUAUGAAUAUACAUGAUAUGUAUAAUAAUUAAAAACAUAAAAAUACAUAAAACCCUCCAAUAAUGUUUUAUGGGAACAUACACAAAUAAAAC
This 1374-nucleotide long non-coding RNA is filed under the name Pan troglodytes (chimpanzee). Its description in RNAcentral is "long non-coding RNA NONPTRT013150". The record is from RNAcentral. Lineage: Eukaryota; Metazoa; Chordata; Mammalia; Primates; Hominidae.